GCCGGAGUAGCUCAGUUGGUAGAGCAUCCGAUUUGUAAUCGGAAGACCGUGGGUUCGAGUCCCACCUCCGGCU
This 73-nucleotide transfer RNA is filed under the name Actinomycetes bacterium. RNAcentral's name for it is "Actinobacteria bacterium tRNA-Thr". It matches the Rfam family "tRNA". Rfam says of the family: Transfer RNA (tRNA) molecules are approximately 80 nucleotides in length. Their secondary structure includes four short double-helical elements and three loops (D, anti-codon, and T loops). Lineage: Bacteria; Bacillati; Actinomycetota; Actinomycetes. RNAcentral also lists the same sequence under 1 other name. The record is from RNAcentral.